GAACUUAAGCAUAUCAAUAAGCGGAGGAAAAGAAAAUAACAAUGAUUCCCCUAGUAACGGCGAGUGAAGAGGGAAAAGCCCAAAUUUGUAAUCUGGCAGUCUUUGAUUGUCCGAGUUGUAAUCUGGGGAGACUAUGUUCGUGUUGGGCCGUAGCAAAGUUUGCUUAACUGCAGCGCCAGAGAGGGUGCUAGCCCCGUUUGUACUACGGAUAACCAAUACAUAGAGCAAGUCUUCAAAGAGUCGAGUUGUUUGGGAAUGCAGCUCUAAUUGGGUGGUAAAUUCCAUCUAAGGCUAAAUAAUGGCGAGAGACCGAUAGCAAACAAGUACCGUGAGGGAAAGAUGAAAAGCACUUUGGAAAGAGAGUGAAACAGCACGUGAAAUCACUGAAAGGGAAACGAUUGAGGUUAGACGUGCGUGGUGCAAAUCAGCCAGAACAUUGUCUCUGGUGUAUUUUGUUGCCAAUGCAGGCCAGCAUCGGUUUUAUGGGCUGGAUAAGGGUAGAAGGAAAGUAGCAUUCACUUUAUGUGUUUGUGUUAUAGACUUCUACUUGAUACAGUGCACGAGACCGAGGAACGCAGCAUGCCUUUUGGCGUGGUCUUGAGGGACCAUAUGUGCUUAGGAUGCUGGCAUUAAUAGCCUUAAACGACCCGUCUUGAAACACGGACCAAGGAGUCUAACAUGCUUGCGAGUAUUUGGGUGUCAAACCCUUGUGCGGAAUGAAAGUAAACGUAGGUGGGAACCCCUUAAACAAGGGUGCACCAUCGACCAAUCCUGAUCUACGUGUGACGGAUUUGAGUAAGAGCAAGUAUGUCGGGACCCGAAA
This 823-nucleotide ribosomal RNA is filed under the name uncultured fungus. RNAcentral describes it as "eukaryotic LSU rRNA". It matches the Rfam family "Eukaryotic large subunit ribosomal RNA", at positions 30 to 821 of the family's 3401-position model. Lineage: Eukaryota; Fungi. The record is from RNAcentral.